This 406-nucleotide ribosomal RNA is filed under the name uncultured bacterium. RNAcentral's name for it is "partial 16S ribosomal RNA". It matches the Rfam family "Bacterial small subunit ribosomal RNA", at positions 30 to 526 of the family's 1533-position model. The record is from RNAcentral.
AUUGAACGCUGGCGGCAAGCCUAACACAUGCAAGUCGAACGAGUGGCGGACGGGUGAGUAAUGUCUGGGAAACUGCCUGAUGGAGGGGGAUAACUACUGGAAACGGUAGCUAAUACCGCAUACCAUCGGAUGUGCCCAGAUGGGAUUAGCUAGUUGGUGGGGUAACGGCUCACCAAGGCGACGAUCCCUAGCUGGUCUGAGAGGAUGACCAGCCACACUGGAACUGAGACACGGUCCAGACUCCUACGGGAGGCAGCAGUGGGGAAUUUUGGACAAUGGGCGCAAGCCUGAUGCAGCCAUGCCGCGUGUAUGAUGAAGGCCUUCGGGUUGUAAAGUACUUUCAGCGGGGAGGCGUUACCCGCAGAAGAAGCACCGGCUAACUCCGUGCCAGCAGCCGCGGUAAUUC